GUGGGGAAUCUUGCGCAAUGGGCGAAAGCCUGACGAAGCCAUGCCGCGUGAAUGAUGAAGGUCUUAGGAUUGUAAAAUUCUUUCACCGGGGACGAUAAUGACGGUACCCGGAGAAGAAGCUCCGGCUAACUUCGUGCCAGCAGCCGCGGUAAUACGAAGGGGGCUAGCGUUGCUCGGAAUUACUGGGCGUAAAGGGCGCGUAGGCGGACAGCUUAGUCAGAGGUGAAAGCCCAGGGCUCAACCUUGGAAUUGCCUUUGAUACUGGCUGUCUUGAGUUUGGGAGAGGUGAGUGGAACUCCGAGUGUAGAGGUGAAAUUCGUAGAUAUUCGGAAGAACACCAGUGGCGAAGGCGACUCACUGGCCCAAUACUGACGCUGAGGCGCGAAAGCGUCGGGAGCAAACAGGAUCAGAUACCCUGGUAGUCC
This 425-nucleotide ribosomal RNA is filed under the name uncultured bacterium. RNAcentral describes it as "partial 16S ribosomal RNA". It matches the Rfam family "Bacterial small subunit ribosomal RNA", at positions 354 to 796 of the family's 1533-position model. The record is from RNAcentral.